Molecule: ribosomal RNA, 691 nt
Filed under: uncultured Allobosea sp.
Lineage: Bacteria; Pseudomonadati; Pseudomonadota; Alphaproteobacteria; Hyphomicrobiales; Alloboseaceae
Description: bacterial SSU rRNA
Rfam family: Bacterial small subunit ribosomal RNA
Source: RNAcentral
CGGGCACUUCGGUGCUAGUGGCAGACGGGUGAGUAACACGUGGGAACGUACCUUUCGGUUCGGAAUAAUCCAGGGAAACUUGGACUAAUACCGGAUACGCCCUUCGGGGGAAAGAUUUAUCGCCGAUAGAUCGGCCCGCGUCUGAUUAGCUAGUUGGUGAGGUAAUGGCUCACCAAGGCGACGAUCAGUAGCUGGUCUGAGAGGAUGAUCAGCCACAUUGGGACUGAGACACGGCCCAAACUCCUACGGGAGGCAGCAGUGGGGAAUAUUGGACAAUGGGCGCAAGCCUGAUCCAGCCAUGCCGCGUGAGUGAUGAAGGCCUUAGGGUUGUAAAGCUCUUUUGUCCGGGAAGAUAAUGACUGUACCGGAAGAAUAAGCCCCGGCUAACUUCGUGCCAGCAGCCGCGGUAAUACGAAGGGGGCUAGCGUUGCUCGGAAUCACUGGGCGUAAAGGGCGCGUAGGCGGACUCUUAAGUCGGGGGUGAAAGCCCAGGGCUCAACCCUGGAAUAGCCUUCGAUACUGAGAGUCUUGAGUUCGGAAGAGGUUGGUGGAAUUGCGAGUGUAGAGGUGAAAUUCGUAGAUAUUCGCAAGAACACCAGUGGCGAAGGCGGCCAACUGGUCCGAUACUGACGCUGAGGCGCGAAAGCGUGGGGAGCAAACAGGAUUAGAUACCCUGGUAGUCCACGCCGUA